Molecule: ribosomal RNA, 252 nt
Filed under: uncultured Bacteroidales bacterium
Lineage: Bacteria; Pseudomonadati; Bacteroidota; Bacteroidia; Bacteroidales
Description: partial 16S ribosomal RNA
Rfam family: Bacterial small subunit ribosomal RNA
Source: RNAcentral
UACGGGGGAUGCAAGCGUUAUCCGGAUUUAUUGGGUUUAAAGGGUGCGUAGGCUGUGAGGUAAGUCAGCGGUCAAAUCGUGGGGCUCAACCCCAUCCAGCCGUUGAAACUGGGGAUCUAGAGUGUGCGAGAGGUAUGCGGAAUGCGUGGUGUAGCGGUGAAAUGCAUAGAUAUCACGCAGAACUCCGAUUGCGAAGGCAGCUUACUAAGCCAUAACUGACACUGAAGCACGAAAGCGUGGGGAUCAAACAGG